UACAGAGGUCUCAACCGUUGUUCGGAUUCAUUGGGCGUAAAGGGUGUGUAGGCGGGUAUUUAAGUCAGUGGUGAAAUCUCCAGGCUCAACCUGGAAACUGCCAUUGAUACUAUUUAUCUUGAAUAUUGUUGAGGUAGGCGGAAUAUAUCAUGUAGCGGUGAAAUGCUUAGAUAUGAUAUAGAACACCGAUUGCGAAGGCAGCUUACUAAACAAUCAUUGACGCUGAGGCACGAAAGCGUGGGGAUCAAACAGG
Molecule: ribosomal RNA, 253 nt
Filed under: uncultured bacterium
Lineage: Bacteria
Description: partial 16S ribosomal RNA
Rfam family: Bacterial small subunit ribosomal RNA
Source: RNAcentral